This 118-nucleotide unclassified non-coding RNA is filed under the name Nostoc sp. UAM 307. RNAcentral describes it as "partial 16S-23S ribosomal RNA intergenic spacer". Lineage: Bacteria; Bacillati; Cyanobacteriota; Cyanophyceae; Nostocales; Nostocaceae. The record is from RNAcentral.
UUAGGGAGACCUACACCCCUCAAAUAUUGAAAGCAAACAGCAAAUAAAUAUUGAGAUGGUCAAACCUAGGUCGGUCGAGGAUGUUAAGUAGCUUUCUAGUAAUUAAUGAUUUCGUUAA